RNAcentral lists this ribosomal RNA (999 nucleotides) under Lacticaseibacillus paracasei. Its description in RNAcentral is "bacterial SSU rRNA". It matches the Rfam family "Bacterial small subunit ribosomal RNA", at positions 45 to 1010 of the family's 1533-position model. Lineage: Bacteria; Bacillati; Bacillota; Bacilli; Lactobacillales; Lactobacillaceae. The record is from RNAcentral.
UGCUAUACAUGCAAGUCGAACGAGUUCUCGUUGAUGAUCGGUGCUUGCACCGAGAUUCAACAUGGAACGAGUGGCGGACGGGUGAGUAACACGUGGGUAACCUGCCCUUAAGUGGGGGAUAACAUUUGGAAACAGAUGCUAAUACCGCAUAGAUCCAAGAACCGCAUGGUUCUUGGCUGAAAGAUGGCGUAAGCUAUCGCUUUUGGAUGGACCCGCGGCGUAUUAGCUAGUUGGUGAGGUAAUGGCUCACCAAGGCGAUGAUACGUAGCCGAACUGAGAGGUUGAUCGGCCACAUUGGGACUGAGACACGGCCCAAACUCCUACGGGAGGCAGCAGUAGGGAAUCUUCCACAAUGGACGCAAGUCUGAUGGAGCAACGCCGCGUGAGUGAAGAAGGCUUUCGGGUCGUAAAACUCUGUUGUUGGAGAAGAAUGGUCGGCAGAGUAACUGUUGUCGGCGUGACGGUAUCCAACCAGAAAGCCACGGCUAACUACGUGCCAGCAGCCGCGGUAAUACGUAGGUGGCAAGCGUUAUCCGGAUUUAUUGGGCGUAAAGCGAGCGCAGGCGGUUUUUUAAGUCUGAUGUGAAAGCCCUCGGCUUAACCGAGGAAGCGCAUCGGAAACUGGGAAACUUGAGUGCAGAAGAGGACAGUGGAACUCCAUGUGUAGCGGUGAAAUGCGUAGAUAUAUGGAAGAACACCAGUGGCGAAGGCGGCUGUCUGGUCUGUAACUGACGCUGAGGCUCGAAAGCAUGGGUAGCGAACAGGAUUAGAUACCCUGGUAGUCCAUGCCGUAAACGAUGAAUGCUAGGUGUUGGAGGGUUUCCGCCCUUCAGUGCCGCAGCUAACGCAUUAAGCAUUCCGCCUGGGGAGUACGACCGCAAGGUUGAAACUCAAAGGAAUUGACGGGGGCCCGCACAAGCGGUGGAGCAUGUGGUUUAAUUCGAAGCAACGCGAGAACCUUACCAGGUCUUGACAUCUUUUGAUCACCUGAGAGAUCAG